Molecule: non-coding RNA, 74 nt
Organism: Dryococelus australis
Lineage: Eukaryota; Metazoa; Arthropoda; Insecta; Phasmatodea; Phasmatidae
Source: the annotation of a GenBank genome assembly
GACCUUGUGGCCUAACGGAAAAGGCAUCGGCCUCCUAAACCGGAGAUUUUGGGUUCGAUUCCCACGAAAGGUAA